GGCCUUUUGAAUUUAAUUUAAGGUCUGACCUGCCCAGUGAUGAAUUUAACGGCCGCGGUAUAUUGACCGUGCAAAGGUAGCAUAAUCAUUAGUCUUUUAAUAGAGGGCUGGAAUGAAUGGUUUAACGAGGAACUAGCUGUCUCAUUUUAUUUGUUUUAGAAUUUAAUUUUUUAGUUAAAAAGCUAAAAUUUUAUUGGAAGACGAGAAGACCCUAUAGAUCUUUAUAUAAUUUUAUUUAUUUAUUUAUAUAUUAAUGUAAUUAUAUUUAAAUUAUAUUUUGUUGGGGUGACAAAAAUAUAUAAUUAACUUUUUCAUUUAUUUACCAUUUAUAUAUGAGUAUUAGAUCCAUUUUUAGUGAUUGUUAGAAUAAGUUACCUUAGGGAUAACAGCGUAAUCCUCCUCCAGAGUUCAUAUUUACAGGAGGGCUUGCGACCUCGAUGUUGGAUUAAGAUAGUAAUUAGGUGUAGCCGCUUAAUGUAUAGGUCUGUUCGACCUUUAAAUUCUU
RNAcentral lists this ribosomal RNA (505 nucleotides) under Sympetrum depressiusculum. RNAcentral's name for it is "partial 16S rRNA". It matches the Rfam family "Bacterial large subunit ribosomal RNA", at positions 1819 to 2597 of the family's 2925-position model. The record is from RNAcentral. Lineage: Eukaryota; Metazoa; Arthropoda; Insecta; Odonata; Libellulidae.